Triticum aestivum (bread wheat) is the source of this 135-nucleotide non-coding RNA. The record is from Rfam. Lineage: Eukaryota; Viridiplantae; Streptophyta; Magnoliopsida; Poales; Poaceae.
CAACUACUCCCUCUGUCCCAAAUUUCUUCUCUUAGAUUUGUCUAGAUACGGAUGUAUCUAAUACUAAAAUGUGACUUGAUACAUCCGUAUCUAGACAAAUCUAAGACAAGAAUUUUGGGACGGAGGGAGUACUUU